Molecule: long non-coding RNA, 1313 nt
Filed under: Felis catus (domestic cat)
Lineage: Eukaryota; Metazoa; Chordata; Mammalia; Carnivora; Felidae
Description: lncRNA (ENSFCAG00000043875.2)
Source: RNAcentral
CCGCCCCCUCUGUUCCUGCAACUCCGCGUCUGUCCAGCAGGGGGCGGCGUGGGCACGCGCAUUCCCAGCCUGCAGCCCCGGGGCCGUUUUCCUGUUUUCCUCCCGCGUGUGCCCGUCUUCCCACGUCUUGCAAAGGGCCUGAUCAAGUGACAGCUGACGAGCCUGCUCUUUAACCCCUUGCUGACAGGGAGCGUGGCGUCCCGCAAAGGGCGUGUUCAGGGCCAACAGACCUGGAUGUGCGAGGCCCUGCGGCCCCACUCACUGCGUCUGCGAGCUCAGAGGGGGAAACUGAGGCACAGAGCUGCCCAGCCCCUCCGGACUGUGGGGCUGUGGACCGUGCCCGCUACUGGUCCCACAGGGCGUGGGGCUGUCACCUGGCCACGGGGCUUUGUCUCCUCCAGGUGCAGGGAAGGACCUCAGGCGGCAGGAGAAGGUUCUGGGCCCGGGAGCCUCCUGCUCCUCCCACGGUGAGACAGAAUCCCCGGCCUGCCGUUUGCCGCAGAUGGUGACAAACUGGAAACUCCUGAGCUGAUGCUAUCGGACCCAAAGGGCCAGGGACGCUGGGCCAGGAUUGGGGGCUGGGGGCUCCGAAGGCCGUUCUGGGCAUGAUCCUGGGCCUUCACAGCCUUCCUAGGUGUCUGUGAGCCCCUGGAGGGGAGGUGGGGGCCAGAAGCUUCUCCAAGGACUCAGUAACAGACCAGAGCACUCGGAUUCUUUCUAAAAGGAUCAGAGAAGCAUCUGCCCUCUGCAAGCCCGUGUCUCUUUCCCCCGCUUUCAAGCCUGAGAACAGUUUGGUCUGGGUUGGUAGCAUCCCGGCACUCCGGGUUCUUUCCUGAGCUCUGGAUGUCCACAGGAGCACGCGUAGACCCUCUGCUCCCCGAGCUGGGUGCGCCCCGUCCAGAGGGGAUCCUGAGCGGGGAAAGGCUCUGUGUGCAGAGGACAGAGCUGUGACGAGCCAUUGCAAUCCACCUCCCCUGUGUUCGACUUCCUUCAGGGGCGUCUUAGCAUCCUAGGGGAUGGAGGUUUGGAUCCACAGACUCACCCAUCUGGCGGCUUGCAACCUGAAGCCAAGGCCUGGGUCUGCAUUUCAAAGAUUUGGCAGGAAGUUAGAUGUAUCUGAUGGAUUUACGCAAUUACGACUUAUUUUGGAACUUCUCUAACACGGAAGUGCUCGUGACACAGGGAGUGCAUACGUCGUCCUGUCUGGCUUAGUGCAGUUUCACAACUGAACACGCCCGUGUCACCGUCCUCUAGAUUAAGCCACAUUGUGAUGACCACCCCUCCCCCCGGCCCCUGCUCCUGUGCCGCCCCCC